RNAcentral lists this ribosomal RNA (517 nucleotides) under uncultured Metschnikowiaceae. RNAcentral's name for it is "eukaryotic LSU rRNA". It matches the Rfam family "Eukaryotic large subunit ribosomal RNA", at positions 20 to 480 of the family's 3401-position model. Lineage: Eukaryota; Fungi; Ascomycota; Saccharomycetes. The record is from RNAcentral.
ACUACCCGCUGAACUUAAGCAUAUCAAUAAGCGGAGGAAAAGAAACCAACAGGGAUUGCCUCAGUAACGGCGAGUGAAGCGGCGAAAGCUCAAAUUUGAAAUCCCCCGGGAAUUGUAAUUUGAAGAGAUUUGGGUCCGGCCGGCGGGGGUUAAGUCCACUGGAAAGUGGCGCCACAGAGGGUGACAGCCCCGUGAACCCCUUCAACGCCUUCAUCCCAGAUCUCCAAGAGUCGAGUUGUUUGGGAAUGCAGCUCUAAGUGGGUGGUAAAUUCCAUCUAAAGCUAAAUACCGGCGAGAGACCGAUAGCGAACAAGUACAGUGAUGGAAAGAUGAAAAGCACUUUGAAAAGAGAGUGAAAAAGUACGUGAAAUUGUUGAAAGGGAAGGGCUUGCAAGCAGACACUUAACUGGGCCAGCAUCGGGGCGGCGGGGAGCAAAACCACCGGGGAAUGUACCUUUCGAGGAUUAUAACCCCGGCCCUUACUCCCAUACUGCCCCGAGGCCUGCAAUCUAAGGAU